AAGGCCUUGCACUUUUGGAGCGGCCGAUGUCUGAUUAGCUAGUUGGUGGGGUAAUGGCCUACCAAAGCUUCGAUCAGUAGCUGGUCUGAGAGGACGGCCAGCCACACUGGGACUGAGACACGGCCCAGACUCCUACGGGAGGCAGCAGUGGGGAAUUUUGGACAAUGGGCGCAAGCCUGAUCCAGCCAUGCCGCGUGAGUGAAGAAGGCCUUCGGGUUGUAAAGCUCUUUCAGUCGGGAAGAAAAGGUUGCGACUAAUAAUCGCAAUUCAUGACGGUACCGGAAGAAGAAGCACCGGCUAACUACGUGCCAGCAGCCGCGGUAAUACGUAGGGUGCGAGCGUUAAUCGGAAUUACUGGGCGUAAAGGGUGCGCAGGCGGUUUUGUAAGUCAGAUGUGAAAUCCCCGGGCUUAACCUGGGAACU
Molecule: ribosomal RNA, 423 nt
Filed under: uncultured bacterium
Lineage: Bacteria
Description: bacterial SSU rRNA
Rfam family: Bacterial small subunit ribosomal RNA
Source: RNAcentral